GAGGCGCCAUUUGCUUCUUGUUACUCAUCUUUGCAAAUGUCUCUUGUCUUCCCAGGCUCUGCCCUGAUGUGUUAGCAUUAGCUGCCUGUGGAUUUCUGAGCCGCGCUGAAACGGGGACUCAGAGCGGCCAACCUAAGUUGGUCAAGCAGAGAUGGCAGUGUGAAGCAAAGGAGGAAGACAAAAAUAAGAUCAAGUGAAGUGUAUGAUACAAGAUCUUCGUGUGCACAUAAACAGUAUCAGGUGAAAAAAUGUCUGGUAAUGGCUUUUCAGGCUGCUGUUGGGAAUAAGGUGACCAGCUAACCUUCAUCCUGGGGAAACCACUGGCGGUGGCAGGGACUGGCUGCAGGAGAAGCACGUUUGUGGGUGAGGGUCGGGCUGGGCAGCUCUUUGCAGAGGAGGCUGGUUGCAAAGCAGAGCUCCAGGCUAGAGGCCAAGUAACACAGGGUAUGAGCAGCUUCAGAAAUAACCACCAUUCAGGUUGUUUACUGCAAGGAGCUCUCGAAGGAAACCAGCAAAUUAAGGAAAGCCAACCCUAAUUCCACCAGGACUUCUGCUUGGGCUUCCUAUCAUGUCAAGUGCUGUUUCCACAGACAGAUUUCACAAGUGCAAAAAUUGAUGCAAGAUUUGGGACUUUCAUCACUACCGGGGCAAAACAAGUGUCCAGUUAAAAAAAAAAUGGAAGUGCCUUUAAUGAGAUUAGAAAAUAAAAGCUGAAGUUUUCUGCAGUCCCCUGGUUCAGAGCUGUACCUCUUCCCUGCAUGCAUAGGACCUCACACACCUAUGGGACCACAGAAAAACCUACAACAGCCAAAAGUAAUAGCACGAGAUUUCAGCAUAAACUGCAAAGGCAGGUGUGAGGACAAACCAUAAGGCCUGUGAACUAACUGAGUGUGUUCCUCCUCUAACUUACAACUGGUGUAAAUCAAUUUACAAUUGAUGUAGGACUGAUACAGACCUGAUGUGGCAUAGAUUAAACCCUUACUGAAAUCAAUGGAGUUAGGCAGGUAUAAAACUUGAGGCAAAGGAGUGGAGAACUAAUCUGAUUAUCUCAGAGUUAUGAAAACAUCAUUUAUUCUCAGAAUUGACAUACUUUGUGGUUUCUGCUGCUUGACUCUCCAAACAUUCCCUUAUACUGGAAGCACACUUGAAAACUUUAAAGAUUUAUUGCACAGCCCUCAGUU
RNAcentral lists this long non-coding RNA (1181 nucleotides) under Corvus moneduloides (New Caledonian crow). RNAcentral describes it as "lncRNA (ENSCMUG00000004508.2)". The record is from RNAcentral. Lineage: Eukaryota; Metazoa; Chordata; Aves; Passeriformes; Corvidae.